Molecule: ribosomal RNA, 381 nt
Filed under: uncultured bacterium
Lineage: Bacteria
Description: bacterial SSU rRNA
Rfam family: Bacterial small subunit ribosomal RNA
Source: RNAcentral
UACGUAGGGUGCGAGCGUUAAUCGGAAUUACUGGGCGUAAAGCGUGCGCAGGCGGUUUGGUAAGACAGAUGUGAAACUCCCCGGGCUUAACCUGGGAGCUGCAUUUGUGACUGCCAGACUAGAGUGUAGCAGAGGGGGGGUAGAAUUCCACGUGUAGCAGUGAAAUGCGUAGAGAUGUGGAGGAAUACCGAUGGCGAAGGCAGCCCCCCUGGGCUAACACUGACGCUCAUGCACGAAAGCGUGGGGGAGCAAACAGGAUUAGAUACCCUGGUAGUCCACGCCCUAAACGAUGUCAACUAGGUGUUGGGGAAGGAGACUUCUUUAGUACCGCAGCUAACGCGUGAAGUUGACCGCCUGGGGAGUACAGUCGCAAGAUUAAAA